RNAcentral lists this transfer RNA (74 nucleotides) under Candidatus Jorgensenbacteria bacterium RIFCSPHIGHO2_02_FULL_45_20. RNAcentral describes it as "tRNA-Trp". It matches the Rfam family "tRNA". Rfam says of the family: Transfer RNA (tRNA) molecules are approximately 80 nucleotides in length. The record is from RNAcentral. Lineage: Bacteria; Candidatus Joergenseniibacteriota. RNAcentral also lists the same sequence under 1 other name.
GGGGGUAUGGUGAAGUGGUAUCAUGACGCUCUCCAAAAGCGUUGUCCUAGGUUCAAGUCCUAGUGCCCCCGCCA